Molecule: ribosomal RNA, 1382 nt
Filed under: metagenome
Description: bacterial LSU rRNA
Rfam family: Bacterial large subunit ribosomal RNA
Source: RNAcentral
GGCAAGCUGCGGAGGGACGCAGGAAGGUAGCUCAUCCCGGGCGUUGGUUGUCCCGGGCUAAGUGUGUAGGGCGAGACGUAGGCAAAUCCGCGUCUCAUUCAUGCCUGAGACAUGAUGGGUCUGCCACAUUUGUGGUGGAUUGAGUGAUCCUAUGCUGCCUAGAAAAGCUUCGUGAGCGAGCUGUGAGCCACCCGUACCCCAAACCGACACAGGUGGAUAGGUAGAGAAUACUAAGGCGAUCGAGAUAAUCGUGGUGAAGGAACUCGGCAAAAUGCCCCCGUAACUUCGGGAUAAGGGGGACCGGAUACGUGAUCUCACUAGCUGGGUGAAGCGUUGAAGGUCGCAGAGACCAGUCCCAAGCGACUGUUUACUAAAAACACAGGUCCGUGCUAAGUCGAAAGACGAUGUAUACGGACUGACUCCUGCCCGGUGCUGGAAGGUUAAGGGGAAGUGUUAGCUAUUAAAGGCGAGGCACUGAACUUAAGCCCCAGUAAACGGCGGUGGUAACUAUAACCAUCCUAAGGUAGCGAAAUUCCUUGUCGGGUAAGUUCCGACCUGCACGAAUGGAGUAACGACUUGGGAGCUGUCUCCACCACGAACUCGGCGAAAUUGCAUUACGAGUAAAGAUGCUCGUUACGCGCAGCAGGACGGAAAGACCCCGGGACCUUUACUAUAGUUUGGUAUUGGUGAUCGGUGUGACUUGUGUAGGAUAGGUGGGAGACUGUGAAACCUUAACGCCAGUUAGGGUGGAGUCAUCGUUGAAAUACCACUCUGGUCACUCUGGUUAUCUAACCUAGGUCCAUUAUCUGGAUCAGGGACAGUGCCUGAUGGGUAGUUUGACUGGGGCGGUCGCCUCCCAAAGAGUAACGGAGGCGCCCAAAGGUUCCCUCAGCCUGGUUGGUAAUCAGGUUUCGAGUGUAAGUGCACAAGGGAGCUUGACUGCGAGAGGGACAUCUCGAGCAGGGACGAAAGUCGGGACUAGUGAUCUUCUGGUGGCACAUGGAAGCGCCAGGACUCAACGGAUAAAAGGUACCCCGGGGAUAACAGGCUGAUCUUGCCCGAGCGUCCAUAGCGACGGCAUGGUUUGGCACCUCGAUGUCGGCUCGUCGCAUCCUGGGGCUGUAGUCGGUCCCAAGGGUUGGGCUGUUCGCCCAUUAAAGCGGCACGCGAGCUGGGUUUAGAACGUCGUGAGACAGUUCGGUCCCUAUCCGCUGCGCGCGUAGGAGUCUUGAGAAGAGCUGUCCUUAGUACGAGAGGACCGGGACGGACUAACCUCUGGUGUGCCAGUUGUCCUGCCAAGGGCACGGCUGGUUGGCUACGUUGGGAAGUGAUAACCGCUGAAAGCAUCUAAGCGGGAAGCACACUUCAAGAUGAGGGCUCCC